CUCUAUAAAAUAUUAAGUCACAUUUGUAAUCGCCUUCCAUCAUUAUAGUGAAAAACCAGAGUCCCAAAUCGUCUCAGCUUGUUGAGUACACUCAAGGCUGGUCCAUUAGGGAUAUGUUUGACACUAUGAAAUAUUUGAUAUUUCUGAAUGAUGGGUUUGACUUAACUAAAAUUUAUCUUUUGUUGAGUACACUCAAGGAGAUAAAUUUUAGAGGCAAGUUAAGCUAACACAUAAGAUGUGUGAAAACAAAGAGUUGUCAGCUAAAUUAUCUGGGAGUUGUAUGGAGAUACAAUUGAUAAUAGUAUCUACCCAAAUAUAAUAUUAGGGCUUGUUGAGUACACUCAAGGUCUUAAUAUAAUAGAUGGGAUCCCAACCCACUGGGAGUCAAGCAUGGACUCCAUAAAUUUAUGUGAGAGGGUCAUAAAUUUUAUUUAAACAGUGGGAGCAUAAUUAAUUUAAUAAAAGACCAUAUUAAAUUAAUUAAUGCAUU
Molecule: long non-coding RNA, 490 nt
Filed under: Olea europaea (common olive)
Lineage: Eukaryota; Viridiplantae; Streptophyta; Magnoliopsida; Lamiales; Oleaceae
Description: long non-coding RNA (OEUR_LNC001580)
Source: RNAcentral